Molecule: long non-coding RNA, 1851 nt
Organism: Pimephales promelas (fathead minnow)
Lineage: Eukaryota; Metazoa; Chordata; Actinopteri; Cypriniformes; Leuciscidae
Source: RefSeq, a predicted model, not a curated record
CAUCUUGCAAAAUGCACACUUGGCUUCACGACGUUGCUGCACUACCGUCUUAGAUGUUUCCUCUGCUGGACAGAAAGUCAAAGUUUAUCUAGGUUUCAUGGUGUAAGGCUGAAAGAAGUCUCUUCCAAGAUUUUUGUUCUUGUCCAUUCAUUCUCCAGAAAUGACAAUACUCCCUAAAUAUGUCUUGUUAACCCUGUUCCAUCACUUUAUUUAUCAGUGCUCCUGUCUACUGGAUGGUCGCCUCCAUUGAUAACUUCUACUAGUCUUAGUCGACUCUCAACCAUCCUAAAGAAGGGUCAGGGACCCCAGAAUGCCCCCUCUAUCCCCUUGCCAGACACCCCACUGGGAGCAAACAGUCCCUCAGGAAGUGACCCAAUGCAGGCGUCUGACAGUUUAUGUAUUGAUUUGUCAUAAAAUGUCAUGGAUGACAAAAGGCUGUUCAGACAUGUUUUUUUAUUUUAUUUCGUAUGCUUCUGAAUUACACCGCAUUCACAUAAAAGAUGUGCAUCCAAGACUGUCUUGAAUUUAAGGUCCGGUCUAAAAAUAUUCCACGGGAAGUGUGACAUUCCAGACUGAUAGGCCCAGCGGUACAAAGCAACAUGCGAACAAUAAACUUUCCCUAAAUCGGAAUCACCUCAGACAAUAUAGGAAAUGAGAGGCUGCUGAGGGUUGUCUUCCUCUGCAAACUGUUGUGUCUAAGCUUGCUUGGAGCUGGCCAUGGAAACAUGGAGGCCGUGGCAAGUGGCCACAUCAAAAGAAUAGGAUGUUAAAUGUGAUAAACAGAUACUGGUGAGCUGGACCCGUAAAAGAUAUAACAAGUGCUGAUGUCAAUGGACGGAAGACAUAGAUCUACCAAACAGGAGUGCAGCCAGGCAGACACUGGUCCACCUCCAAAACAGCACUUAGAGGAAGUAAUCUCACAUUUAAACCCAAGAUUGGAUCAGCUACUUUAGUUUGAAGAGAGUCAAAUCAACUUUACGCUGAUAAGACCCCUAAAUCUGGGCCGACCGUGAACAAUGAGCGUGUCUACAUGCGAUGCGAGUGUCAAAUGAGGAAAAGACGAAGUCACCUUCAGUUUGACUGACAGCAGUACAGAAAAGCAUUUGACCUGAGUGAUUUGUCAAUGGACAGGGACGGACACAAAGAGGUAUUGAUUGGCUGGGGAGAAAAGGCAAGACACAAUGCGGUAGGCAGCGGGAUAGGUGAAACGAUCAAUAUGGUGGUUCUGCUCCAGGGAUCCUCUUCACCAGCACACAGUGAGGCAGGAAGCAGCGAGCAGCAAACAAACACUGACACUCGGAGCGGAAACCUCGGGUGGUAUCUCUCGUUCGCAUACCCACAUCCAUUGCAAUGUACGCAAACAGACUGUCUCCUAACCACAAACGCAAACAAGCUUUCGCACAAGCCCUCUCGAAUCAAAGAGCACUAUCGUACCUGAAAUCUCACAUUUUCACUUGUGUCUCAUCAUCUGAUUUGGUGCUGUUCUCGGAUAUGACUAACACCAUGUGUGGUUUGUGCCUUUGGGUGAAGAAACUGACUGCAAGUGAAAAUGAUAAAUGGAUGAAUGAAUGGGUGGGAGCCCCAUCAUCACCCCCCCCCCCCCACACACACCCCAAAAAAUAUUUUUUUAAAAGCGAAUAAAGCCGAAUUUCAUGUCACGCAUUCAAGAGAACAAUAAUGUUAUUGUAUGUGUAUAUUGUUAAUGCAUACACAUAUAAAAAAAUACUUUUAUUAAAUGUAUUAAUUCAUUUUGGUUUAGCUGACAAACUUCAUGUUCGCUAGUAUUUUGAGGAAGAUGCCACAUUCCUCCACCAGGCGCUUGACGUUAAUAAAGACAGUUACUGAAAGGUU